AUUGAACGCUGGCGGAAUGCUUUACACAUGCAAGUCGAACGGCAGCACGGACUUCGGUCUGGUGGCGAGUGGCGAACGGGUGAGUAAUACAUCGGAACGUGCCUAGUCGUGGGGGAUAACGUAGCGAAAGCUACGCUAAUACCGCAUACGAUCUACGGAUGAAAGCGGGGGAUCGCAAGACCUCGCGCGAUUGGAGCGGCCGAUGGCAGAUGAGGUAGUUGGUGGGGUAAAGGCUCACCAAGCCGACGAUCUGUAGCUGGUCUGAGAGGACGACCAGCCACACGGGGACUGAGACACGGCCCAGACUCCUACAGGAGGCAGCAGUGGGGAAUUUUGGACAAUGGGCGCAAGCCUGAUUCAGCCAUUCCGCGUGCAGGAUGAAGGCCCUCGGGUUGUAAACUGCUUUUGUACGGAACGAAAAGGCUCUGGUUAAUACCCGGGGCUCAUGACGGUACCGUAAGAAUAAGCACCGGCUAACUACGUGCCAGCCGCCGCCGUAA
RNAcentral lists this ribosomal RNA (500 nucleotides) under uncultured bacterium. Its description in RNAcentral is "partial 16S ribosomal RNA". It matches the Rfam family "Bacterial small subunit ribosomal RNA", at positions 30 to 523 of the family's 1533-position model. The record is from RNAcentral.